ACUCCUACGGGUGGCAGCAGUGGGAAUAUUGGACAAUGGGCGAAAGCCUGAUCCAGCAAUGCCGCGUGAGUGAUGAAGGCCUUAGGGUUGUAAAGCUCUUUUACUAGGGAUGAUAAUGACAGUACCUAGAGAAUAAGCUCCGGCUAACUCCGUGCCAGCAGCCGCGGUAAUACGGAGGGUGCGAGCGUUAAUCGGAAUUACUGGGCGUAAAGCGCAUGCAGGCGGCCUGUUAAGUCAGAUGUGAAAGCCCGGGGCUUAACCUCGGAAUUGCAUUUGAAACUGGCAGGCUAGAGUCUUGUAGAGGGGGUAGAAUUUCAGGUGUAGCGGUGAAAUGCGUAGAGAUCUGAAGGAAUACCAGUGGCGAAGGCGGCCCCCUGGACAAAGACUGACGCUCAGAUGCGAAAGCGUGGGGAGCAAACAGGAUUAGAUACCCUGGUAGGUGA
RNAcentral lists this ribosomal RNA (443 nucleotides) under uncultured bacterium. Its description in RNAcentral is "bacterial SSU rRNA". It matches the Rfam family "Bacterial small subunit ribosomal RNA", at positions 335 to 797 of the family's 1533-position model. The record is from RNAcentral.